AUGUAAAUUCCUACAUCACAGCGUUAAUGCACUGAAUCCCAUUAUAACUCUGCAGUUAAGUGUGCUCAAGAUAGAGUAGUACUAGGAUGGGUGACCACUGAGGAAGUCCUAGUGUUUUACAUG
Molecule: non-coding RNA, 123 nt
Organism: Picea glauca (white spruce)
Lineage: Eukaryota; Viridiplantae; Streptophyta; Pinopsida; Pinales; Pinaceae
Source: Rfam